GAUGAACGCUGGCGGCGUGCCUAAUACAUGCAAGUCGAGCGAACAGACGAGGAGCUUGCUCCGAUGACGUGAGCGGCGGACGGGUGAGUAACGCGUGGAUAACCUGCCUAUAAGACUGGGAUAACUUCGGGAAACCAGUGCUAAUACCGGAUAAUAUAUUUAAACACAUGGUUCAAGAGUGAAAGAUGGUUUUGCUGUAACUUAUGAAUAUAUCCGCUCGGAUUUAGCAAGUUGGGAGGGUAAGGGCUUACCAAGGGAACGUUGAGAGGCCGACCUGAGAGGGUGAUCGGCCAAACUGGAACGGGACACCGGUCCAGACCCCUACGGGAGGAGGCAGAAGGGAAUCUUGCGCAAUGGGCGAAAUCCUGACGGAGCAACGCCGCGUGGUGGAGGAAGGUCUCCGGAUCGUAAACCUCUGUUAUAAGGGAAGAACAAAGUGGUAAUUAACUACUCACGUCUUGACGGUACCUAAUCAGAAAGCCACGGCUAACUACGUG
RNAcentral lists this ribosomal RNA (497 nucleotides) under uncultured bacterium. RNAcentral's name for it is "partial 16S ribosomal RNA". It matches the Rfam family "Bacterial small subunit ribosomal RNA", at positions 28 to 507 of the family's 1533-position model. The record is from RNAcentral.